ACGACUCUCGACAACGGAUAUCUUGGCUCUCGCAUCGAUGAAGAACGUAGCGAAAUGCGAUACUUGGUGUGAAUUGCAGAAUCCCGUGAACCAUCGAGUCUUUGAACGCAAGUUGCGCCUGAAACCAUUAGGUUGAGGGCACGUUUGCCUGGGUGUCACGU
RNAcentral lists this ribosomal RNA (161 nucleotides) under Fuernrohria setifolia. RNAcentral's name for it is "5.8S ribosomal RNA". It matches the Rfam family "5.8S ribosomal RNA". From Rfam's summary of the family: 5.8S ribosomal RNA (5.8S rRNA) is a component of the large subunit of the eukaryotic ribosome. The record is from RNAcentral. Lineage: Eukaryota; Viridiplantae; Streptophyta; Magnoliopsida; Apiales; Apiaceae.